This 406-nucleotide ribosomal RNA is filed under the name uncultured bacterium. Its description in RNAcentral is "partial 16S ribosomal RNA". It matches the Rfam family "Bacterial small subunit ribosomal RNA", at positions 30 to 526 of the family's 1533-position model. The record is from RNAcentral.
AUUGAACGCUGGCGGCAGGCCUAACACAUGCAAGUCGAACGAGUGGCGGACGGGUGAGUAAUGUCUGGGAAACUGCCUGAUGGAGGGGGAUAACUACUGGAAACGGUAGCUAAUACCGCAUACCAUCGGAUGUGCCCAGAUGGGAUUAGCUAGUAGGUGGGGUAAAGGCUCACCUAGGCGGCGAUCCCUAGCUGGUCUGAGAGGAUGACCGUCCACACUGUAACUGAGACACGCGCCCGACUCCUCCGGGAGGCAGCAGGGGGGAAUAUUGCACACUGGGCGCAAGCCUUAUGCAGCCAUGCCGCGUGUAUGAAAAGGGCCUUCGGGUUUUAAAGUACUUUCAGCAGGGAGGCGUUACCUACACCGGAAGCGCCGGCUAACUCCGUGCCAGCAGCCGCGGUAAUUC